Molecule: ribosomal RNA, 446 nt
Filed under: uncultured bacterium
Lineage: Bacteria
Description: partial 16S ribosomal RNA
Rfam family: Bacterial small subunit ribosomal RNA
Source: RNAcentral
ACCAGACUCCUACGGGAGGCAGCAGUGGGGGAUAUUGCACAAUGGGGGGAACCCUGAUGCAGCGACGCCGCGUGGGUGAAGGAGCGUUUCGGCGCGUAAAGCCCUAUCGGCAGGGAAGAAGGAGGACGGUACCUGACUAAGAAGCCCCGGCUAACUACGUGCCAGCAGCCGCGGUAAUACGUAGGGGGCAAGCGUUAUCCGGAUUUACUGGGUGUAAAGGGGGCGCAGACGGCAGCGCAAGCCAGGAGUGAAAGCCCGGGGCCCAACCCCGGGACUGCAUUGGAAACUGGCAGGCUGGAGUGUCGGAGAGGCAGGCGGAAUUCCUAGUGUAGCGGUGAAAUGCGUAGAUAUUAGGAGGAACACCAGUGGCGAAGGCGGCCUGCUGGACGAUGACUGACGCUGAGGCUCGAAAGCGUGGGGAGCAAACAGGAUUAGAUACCCCAGUA